CCUCCGGGUGGCAGCAGUGAGGAAUAUUGGUCAAUGGCCGGAAGGCUGAACCAGCCAAGCCGCGUGAGGGAGGAAGGCGCAGAGCGUCGCAGACCUCUUUUGCCGGGGGACAAAAGGCCGGACUCGUCCGGUCCUGAGGGUACCCGGAGAAAAAGCAUCGGCUAACUCCGUGCCAGCAGCCGCGGUAAUACGUGGGGAGCAAGCGUUGUCCGGCAUUACUGGGUGUAAAGGGAGCGUAGGCGGGAUAGUAAGUUGAUUGUUAAAACUAUCGGCUCAACUGGUAGAUGCGAUCAAAACUGCAAUUCUUGAGUGAAGUAGAGGCAGGCGGAAUUCCUAGUGUAGCGGUGAAAUGCGUAGAUAUUAGGAGGAACACCAGUGGCGAAGGCGGCCUGCUGGGCUUUAACUGACGCUGAGGCUCGAAAGUGUGGGUAGCAAACAGGAUUAGAUACCCCUGUAGUC
This 459-nucleotide ribosomal RNA is filed under the name uncultured bacterium. RNAcentral describes it as "partial 16S ribosomal RNA". It matches the Rfam family "Bacterial small subunit ribosomal RNA", at positions 338 to 795 of the family's 1533-position model. The record is from RNAcentral.